RNAcentral lists this ribosomal RNA (460 nucleotides) under uncultured bacterium. RNAcentral describes it as "partial 16S ribosomal RNA". It matches the Rfam family "Bacterial small subunit ribosomal RNA", at positions 338 to 795 of the family's 1533-position model. The record is from RNAcentral.
CCUACGGGUGGCAGCAGUGAGGAAUAUUGGUCAAUGGACGAGAGUCUGAACCAGCCAAGUAGCGUGAAGGAUGACUGCCCUAUGGGUUGUAAACUUCUUUUAUAUGGGAAUAAAAUGUUCCACGUGUGGGAUUUUGUAUGUACCAUAUGAAUAAGAAUCGGCUAACUCCGUGCCAGCAGCCGCGGUAAUACGGAGGAUCCGAGCGUUAUCCGGAUUUAUUGGGUUUAAAGGGAGCGUAGGUGGAUUGUUAAGUCAGUUGUGAAAGUUUGCGGCUCAACCGUAAAAUUGCAGUUGAAACUGGCAGGCUUGAGUACAGUAGAGGUGGGCGGAAUUCGUGGUGUAGCGGUGAAAUGCUUAGAGAUCACGAAGAACUCCGAUGGCGAAGGCAGCUCACUGGACUGCAACUGACACUGAGGCUCGAAAGUGUGGGUAUCAAACAGGAUUAGAUACCCCUGUAGUC